This 420-nucleotide ribosomal RNA is filed under the name bacterium. RNAcentral describes it as "partial 16S ribosomal RNA". It matches the Rfam family "Bacterial small subunit ribosomal RNA", at positions 355 to 776 of the family's 1533-position model. The record is from RNAcentral.
UGGGGGAUAUUGCACAAUGGGCGAAAGCCUGAUGCAGCGACGCCGCGUGGGGGAUGAAGGCUUUCGGGUUGUAAACCUCUUUCGCUAUCGAACAAGGCUCGCUUAGGGUGGGUUGAGGGUAGGUGGAGAAGAAGCGCCGGCUAACUACGUGCCAGCAGCCGCGGUAAUACGUAGGGCGCGAGCGUUGUCCGGAAUUAUUGGGCGUAAAGGGCUUGUAGGCGGCUUGUUGCGCCUGCUGUGAAAACGCGGGGCUUAACUUCGCGCGUGCAGUGGGUGCGGGCAGGCUUGAGUGUGGUAGGGGUGACUGGAAUUCCAGGUGUAGCGGUGGAAUGCGCAGAUAUCUGGAGGGACGCCGAUGGCGAAGGCAGGUCACUGGGCCAUUACUGACGCUGAGGAGCGAAAGCAUGGGUAGCGAACAGG